Batrachochytrium dendrobatidis JAM81 is the source of this 72-nucleotide transfer RNA. It matches the Rfam family "tRNA". From Rfam's summary of the family: Transfer RNA (tRNA) molecules are approximately 80 nucleotides in length. Their secondary structure includes four short double-helical elements and three loops (D, anti-codon, and T loops). Further hydrogen bonds mediate the characteristic L-shaped molecular structure. tRNAs have two regions of fundamental functional importance: the anti-codon, which is responsible for specific mRNA codon recognition, and the 3' end, to which the tRNAs corresponding amino acid is attached (by aminoacyl-tRNA synthetases). tRNAs cope with the degeneracy of the genetic code in two manners: having more than one tRNA (with a specific anti-codon) for a particular amino acid; and 'wobble' base-pairing, i.e. permitting non-standard base-pairing at the 3rd anti-codon position. The record is from Rfam. NCBI's taxonomy places the organism in Eukaryota, Fungi, Chytridiomycota, Chytridiomycetes, Rhizophydiales.
GGGGCUGUGGCGCAGUGGUAGCGCGUUCGCUUUGCAUGCGAAAGGCCUAGGGUUCGAACCCCUACUGCUCCA